This 1010-nucleotide long non-coding RNA is filed under the name Fragaria vesca (wild strawberry). Its description in RNAcentral is "long non-coding RNA (FVES_LNC004323)". The record is from RNAcentral. Lineage: Eukaryota; Viridiplantae; Streptophyta; Magnoliopsida; Rosales; Rosaceae.
GAGCAGGUGCUUAGGAACAAGACAAUCCCGCUUGUCAAGGUGCUGUGGAGAAGUCAUCAAGUAGAAGAAGCUACUUGGGAAUCAGAGGAGCAAAUGAUGCAGCAGUAUCCGUAUCUCUUCGGAUGACAUGUAUAUUAAUUUCGAGGACGAAAUUUUUAUAAGGAGGGGAGAAUUGUCACAUCCCCGACCCUUAUAUUUUUACCUUAUUUACUAGCGUGAUUAUAAUAAGAAUUUUACCAUCCCAAUCAUUGAGUAAAUAGUUUAAUUGGUCCCUUGAGGGGUUUCGGAAACGAUUAUGUGCGGAGGAUAAUUCGUAUGGGGAAAAUACGACGACGGUAAAAAUAGUAAAUUUUAGCUAGUAAAAGGUAAUUUUUAUUCGGGUAUUAUUUUUCGGGGUGUUGAAUUUAGGAAUUUUGGGUUAAAAGGAGUGUUGGGUCGGCUGGGCCGAGCCCAACCCAUUUCUUCUUUCUCUUCUCCCUCUCUCCCGAUUCUCUCUCCUCCCACCCGAUUUUCUCCUCUCUCCACCCGGGAAUUUCACCCGCCGCCGUCCGGCCACCACCGACCGCCAGACUGGUCCCGUUCGGACCCUUGCUUCUUCCUCUCUCAUCCUGGACCGGUGCACGCGCCCGGAACGCCGCCGUGAAGGAGCGGUCAACCCCGAAAGGUUCGACUGCCGGAAAGGGUCCUUCGCCGGAGCUCCGUCUUCCGGCCACCAUAGGUCGUGAUUUUUGGCUCAACUUGUAGCCCUCAUCUAGGUGAGUAAUCCCUCAAAAGGUUUCGGCUAAAUUCGAUUUCGUUAGGGAGGUUUGUUUAAUUGAAAGUUUUAAGGAUUUAUGGUUGUUUGUGUUCGAUCGACAUGGUUAGGCUUAGAAUUGGAGUUUGUGUUAGUCAUGAAAGUUGUAGAGAAGAUUGAGAGGAAGAUUCUGUUAAAAUUUGGUAGCAUUUGCAGGUCGCCGGAAAACGGCUGCCGGCCGCCGCCGCCGGUUAGGAGAUUUUUUAGGGUUUUAAAA